RNAcentral lists this transfer RNA (71 nucleotides) under Loxodonta africana (African savanna elephant). It matches the Rfam family "tRNA". From Rfam's summary of the family: Transfer RNA (tRNA) molecules are approximately 80 nucleotides in length. Their secondary structure includes four short double-helical elements and three loops (D, anti-codon, and T loops). Lineage: Eukaryota; Metazoa; Chordata; Mammalia; Proboscidea; Elephantidae. The record is from Rfam by way of RNAcentral.
GCAUUGGUGGUUCGGUGGUAGAAUUCUUGCCUUCCCUGCAGGAGACCCAGGUUCGAUUCCCGGCCAAGGUA